RNAcentral lists this ribosomal RNA (253 nucleotides) under uncultured bacterium. Its description in RNAcentral is "partial 16S ribosomal RNA". It matches the Rfam family "Bacterial small subunit ribosomal RNA", at positions 524 to 776 of the family's 1533-position model. The record is from RNAcentral.
UACGGAGGGUGCAAGCGUUAUCCGGAUUCACUGGGUUUAAAGGGUGCGUAGGUGGGCUGGUAAGUCAGUGGUGAAAUCUCCAGGCUUAACUUGGAAACUGCCAUUGAUACUAUCAGUCUUGAAUACCGUGGAGGUCAGCGGAAUAUGUCAUGUAGCGGUGAAAUGCUUAGAUAUGACGCAGAACACCAAUUGCGAAGGCAGCUGGCUACACAUAUAUUGACACUGAGGCACGAAAGCGUGGGGAUCAAACAGG